This 636-nucleotide long non-coding RNA is filed under the name Phoenix dactylifera (date palm). RNAcentral's name for it is "long non-coding RNA (PDAC_LNC020225)". The record is from RNAcentral. Lineage: Eukaryota; Viridiplantae; Streptophyta; Magnoliopsida; Arecales; Arecaceae.
GGAUCCGACAAGUAGUGCCGAACUUAAUUGUGUCGAGAAGAGGCCGAAUAGUGCCGAACUCGACGGCGAGAAGAGGCCGAACCGCCGAAGUCACAACCAACCUACAUUUGGACCCAAAAAAAAUCAAUUCUACUGUCUCUAACUUGACUAAAUAAAAAUUAAUUGGAUCAAAAGAUUAAUUAGUAAAGUAAACUAGCUUAGGAGCUAACAGAGGAGAGACGGUGGAUUAGAUUGUCUGAUUCUCACCGGACACCGGGAAUUGGGAAUCCAAUUUGGGAUCAGCCGAUCAGUGAUUCAGACACAGAGACACUCAGUGAGACAGUGAGGACUGAGGAUGGUGGAUUUUGGUCCUUGGAGAGUUGGAGUGAGCCGAGCUGCCGAGUGCGGACUGCGGAGUGCCGAGGAGCGGAGGAAGCCGGAGCGGCGGAGCCCGGAGGUCGGAGCCUCGGAGGAGCCGAGGACGGCGAGGAGAGCUGGAGUCUGGAGAGGACUCCUCUCAGAGGAGAUCCGGCCGGCGGGCCGGCAGCUAGCCACUCGCCCGGUCUUCCGUCGGCCGAAGCCCGAAGGUUGGAACUUGGAGGACGGGAGGAGCUGACAGCCGAGGACGGCGACGUCGGGCGUCGGCCAGGGCCCAGG